UGAAGUGGUACCUUCUUUAGAAAGAGAAGAACCUUUAACAAGGAAGAAAAGGGCCAACCUGCAGCGAGAUUUGGAGAAGGGAAACAGCAUUUGCAGGACAUCCACUCAACUCUAGGCUUCGUGCCAGGCGGCUUAAGUAUAUGAUCACAGCCUCGGCUUGGGAGGGGCCUGAGGGCCUAAUGAACAGCCUGGUACAGCCUAGGACAUCCUGGGAAGUUCUGGAAAUACUGACUCCAAGCAGGUCAAGUGUGGAGUAGUUUUCUACCAGGACAUAGUUAACAACCCAUAAAGGUCUCUGCUUAAGUAAGAAGUCCAUUUCUGUGAACCAUAACCCAGAUGUAGCAACGCCAGACUGUCUCCUAUCAAAAUUUAUUGAAAUGGUAGAUUUUUGUGUGGUGUAGUUUUCUACCAGGACAUAGUUAAUAACCCAUAAAGGUCUCUGCUUAAGUAAGAAGUCCAUUUCUGUGAACCAUAACCCAGAUAUAGCAACGCCAGACUGUCUCCUAUCAAAAUUUAUUGAAAUGGUAGAUUUUUGGUAAGUACAGAAACACAAGCGAAGGAACCAGGAGGAACGUGCACCCCUCUACCCGUGGGGCAGAGGCACGUUUCCCUUUUAAUGGUAAAAGCAAACAGGUGGGAAACAGCUUUCUAUCCUGAAGCCGUUUUAACUGCUCAACCCUUAGAUUACUAUAAACAAGAGAGGAAUGGAUUGCAUUAGUCGCUGGUUGAAAGCAGCAAUGCCAUUUCCUUUCCCAUAAUAACACUGUUUAGCUCAGUCCCUUCUGGGGCUAAUCCCCUAUUACACCCACCGGAAACACAGAUAUUAACCAAAGCGUGUGAGUCUCUUCCCUGAGUCCAUUUCUGCUAAAGAUUGUCUGAAAGAUGAAUUGGUCCACGGAAGCCAGGUGACCUACUGGCUUGUUUAGUGAUGCCUGGGCUUCCUCCAGGAGCAACACAAUUCCCUCCAAUCUCAGCUCUCCUUAUCCCUGCUGGAGCUCACAAGCAGGCUAGAUAUCACCCCAGGAGCUGAGCCCCCCCCAGUCUCAGGCAGAUGUGGGAAGAAGGCCAACAAGUCACAAGUAGAUCUCUGGCUCCAACUGUGCUCAGCAGAAACGCCUACAAUUUGCCCAUCUUCAGUCCUGCGAGCGUCAGAGAUGAAGCAAAAGUUUCAGAUGCCUAGAAGCUUUACUCUCUGUUCCUCCAGGAUUCCUGCGGUCACACCUUGCAACCAGUCUCCCACUCAUCUGCCACAGUUUCCCUAAAUCAGAUUCUCUGAAUCUGGAAGUUCCAGGAAAUCUUAGGCCGAGUCCAGUGACAUUACUCGAUGCAACAGCCCAACUGUUUCUCCAGAGAUCCUGGUUCUUGGUGACAAUGUCCCUUCUUGGCAUGGUUAUUUGAGGUUGGGCCCAGAUAAGAGGGGCUCCAUGGCUCACCGGAGUUGGCCAUUAACGCCUCUGGAGCGCCUCUGGUUUUGUUGGGGUCCCCCGUGAGCUCGACGCUCGUGCUACGGUUAUUAUCUGGCUCACCUGUCAUCUUCCUCUGGAGGCAGCGGUUGAUCAAAGUGGAGAAGAAGUUGGGAAAGGAUGGGCUGGAGAAGUAGUACACCACGGGGUCCAGCAUGCUGUUCAUGUAGGUGAAGCUGAGAGUGAUAAAGAACGCCAGGUCCACCGAGCGGUACACUUCACAAUUCUGCGUGCCCGAAGUGUGCAGGAGCCAGAAGAUG
RNAcentral lists this long non-coding RNA (1723 nucleotides) under Pan troglodytes (chimpanzee). Its description in RNAcentral is "lincRNA". Lineage: Eukaryota; Metazoa; Chordata; Mammalia; Primates; Hominidae. The record is from RNAcentral.